GCGACCCCAGGUCAGGYGGGACUACCCGCUGAA
RNAcentral lists this ribosomal RNA (33 nucleotides) under Festuca luciarum. RNAcentral describes it as "partial 26S ribosomal RNA". The record is from RNAcentral. Lineage: Eukaryota; Viridiplantae; Streptophyta; Magnoliopsida; Poales; Poaceae.